CCUACGGGUGUGCAGCAGUGGGGAAUAUUGGACAAUGGGCGAAAGCCUGAUCCAGCCAUGCCGCGUGUGUGAAGAAGGCCUUCGGGUUGUAAAGCACUUUCAGUGGGGAAGAAAGCCUUGGGGCUAAUACCCUCGAGGAAGGACAUCACCCACAGAAGAAGCACCGGCUAACUCCGUGCCAGCAGCCGCGGUAAUACGGAGGGUGCGAGCGUUAAUCGGAAUUACUGGGCGUAAAGCGCGCGUAGGCGGUCUGAUAAGCCGGUUGUGAAAGCCCCGGGCUCAACCUGGGAACGGCAUCCGGAACUGUCAGGCUAGAGUGCAGGAGAGGAAGGUAGAAUUCCCGGUGUAGCGGUGAAAUGCGUAGAGAUCGGGAGGAAUACCAGUGGCUAAGGCGGCCUUCUGGACUGACACUGACGCUGAGGUGCGAAAGCGUGGGUAGCAAACAGGAUUAGAUACCCGAGUAGUC
Molecule: ribosomal RNA, 466 nt
Filed under: Vreelandella stevensii
Lineage: Bacteria; Pseudomonadati; Pseudomonadota; Gammaproteobacteria; Oceanospirillales; Halomonadaceae
Description: partial 16S ribosomal RNA
Rfam family: Bacterial small subunit ribosomal RNA
Source: RNAcentral